RNAcentral lists this transfer RNA (70 nucleotides) under Pampus chinensis (Chinese silver pomfret). Its description in RNAcentral is "tRNA-Pro". It matches the Rfam family "tRNA". From Rfam's summary of the family: Transfer RNA (tRNA) molecules are approximately 80 nucleotides in length. Their secondary structure includes four short double-helical elements and three loops (D, anti-codon, and T loops). The record is from RNAcentral. Lineage: Eukaryota; Metazoa; Chordata; Actinopteri; Scombriformes; Stromateidae.
CAAAAAAUAGUUUAACUUAGAAUCUUGGCUUUGGGAGUCAGGGGUAGGAGUUAGAAUCUCCUUUUUUUGA